CGCCUCUAAAACCUCUGGAUAUGCUGCCGCUCCCCAUCCCUCCAAGUGGAACACCCUGAGAUGCUGAUGGUUUGCAGCGUUCUCGUGUAAAGGGAUCAAUUGGAGCUCUCCUUCCAUAGGACGCUUCUUCCCUUACAUAUGACCAUAACCGUAUACCAAGCCGAACCAUUUUUAUUGCCUCUGUGAAUGUGACACUAAAUUCUUUUAACUUGCUAGCACGGCUGUUUAGUUUCCUUCUCCAAGCUUGAGAUGGUGGUGCAGCACUAUCAAAAUCAAACAAUUGCAAAGUUGCUUUAGUUAUGUACUCCUCAGGUGGCCAUGAGUUCUUCCUAUAAUGAAACAAAGUACCACUCACCAUUUUAUUCCAACUCUAUAGACCUCUCACCACCCCCUUUAACCACUCAAAAUCCAAUCUUUCUCCAAUCAAAAGACCCUCAAAACCAUUAACCAAAUCCCCAUAUACACAAAACACCAAAAUCUCUCGUCUCUCUCUUCAACAGAACACCAAACAGUCCCU
This 517-nucleotide unclassified non-coding RNA is filed under the name Hevea brasiliensis (rubber tree). The record is from RNAcentral. Lineage: Eukaryota; Viridiplantae; Streptophyta; Magnoliopsida; Malpighiales; Euphorbiaceae.